Molecule: non-coding RNA, 27 nt
Filed under: Rattus norvegicus (Norway rat)
Lineage: Eukaryota; Metazoa; Chordata; Mammalia; Rodentia; Muridae
Source: RNAcentral
UUUGGUCCAGCGAAACGUGAACAUCUU